Molecule: ribosomal RNA, 427 nt
Filed under: uncultured bacterium
Lineage: Bacteria
Description: partial 16S ribosomal RNA
Rfam family: Bacterial small subunit ribosomal RNA
Source: RNAcentral
UGGGGAAUAUUAGACAAUGGGCGAAAGCCUGAUCCAGCCAUGCCGCGUGUGUGAAGAAGGUCUUCGGAUUGUAAAGCACUUUAAGUUGGGAGGAAGGGCAUUAACCUAAUACGUUAGUGUUUUGACGUUACCGACAGAAUAAGCACCGGCUAACUCUGUGCCAGCAGCCGCGGUAAUACAGAGGGUGCAAGCGUUAAUCGGAAUUACUGGGCGUAAAGCGCGCGUAGGUGGUUUGUUAAGUUGGAUGUGAAAUCCCCGGGCUCAACCUGGGAACUGCAUUCAAAACUGACUGACUAGAGUAUGGUAGAGGGUGGUGGAAUUUCCUGUGUAGCGGUGAAAUGCGUAGAUAUAGGAAGGAACACCAGUGGCGAAGGCGACCACCUGGACUAAUACUGACACUGAGGUGCGAAAGCGUGGGGAGCAAACA